UCUCUCAUGAAAAAGGAAGAGGCAUCCCUCCCCUUGUGGUCGCCCAAGAAGAAAAAAAGAUAAGGGAGCAUCCAAGAGUUGAACGCCCCAAACUCCUCACGCCUAUCCUCUCUUCUUCUCUUCUUUCUUAAGAUUUUGUUGCUAGUUUUUGUACAUCAAAGAGAGGCUUCUAUGCUAUUUUUACAGUAGAAAAUUGAGGAAGAAAAGUUCUUCCCAAAGAGAGAAAGAUCACGGAAGAAGAAGGGUCUUCUUUCUUGUGCGCAGCCUUGAAGAAGAAGAAGUUCUUCUUUCA
Molecule: long non-coding RNA, 292 nt
Filed under: Elaeis guineensis (African oil palm)
Lineage: Eukaryota; Viridiplantae; Streptophyta; Magnoliopsida; Arecales; Arecaceae
Description: long non-coding RNA (EGUI_LNC070725)
Source: RNAcentral